CGGCCGGGGUUCGGCUGGGGUUCGGCCGGGGCUCGGCGGCGGCCGGCCGGCGCAACCCGAUCGCUUCGGAGGGGCCGAAUCCCGCCUCGCCAUUGGCUGAGCCGGUCGUGGGGCUGUUUUUGCAAAAGGCAUGCCCAGCACGUCUCCGCCGCUGCCAGGCCGGGGCUGCCUUUAAACACCAUGAGAAUAAUACCAAAAAGCAGUUUGCAGAAGUCUUCUACUACUGGAGAGGCUUCCUCUGCAGAAGGGAGCAAGAUGGCUACCUCGUGGGCUUUGCUGUGAAGAAUGCAGAGACUAAUUAACACAGACUUAAAGGGGGAAAAAGGGUUAUAAAAGAAAACAAAAGGCCACAGAGGGAAAAGAAGGCCAAAGUUUUAAAGGUAAUGAGCUAUGGCUUUAAUCAUACUGAUUUUCCUGUCCUUUUGAAACCAUAUCUUUUCCUGUCACUUGGGGUAAAUUGGAAGCUAAGGCUGCUGGGAGGCAGUCUCUAGAUUUUCAGUUGGUAAAUGGAUUUUGAAGACACUCCAGUGUUUGGGGUGGGGGUAGGGUUCUUUGAUCUGCUGUGCUGCAAUAUUUGCAUUAUUUAUUUCCAGCUGCACGGAUCUGCAGGCUGAAAAGUUUAGUUCCAUUUUUGGGGGUAGACUUUUGCUCUCAGCACAUAUAUAUAUAUAUACAUAUAUAUGUCAAGUGGCAUAAGUGGCUUCUCUGGAAGGAAGGUGCUAUCAAAGGUGUCAUUUAAUGUCAGAUUUGUGUGGUAUAGUAUGAGUGCGCUAGCGGUCUUCUUGAAAUCUAAAUUGAGGGCAGGGUCUUCUGUAAAUUGGCAGGUGGUAUUUUCCAGAAAAAUAGUUCCAUCAUAGAACGUUUAUUCCCCCGUGACAGGUUUUUAGCCAGGUUGUAUCGGUUUAAUAAAAAUGUCUUCAACCUUGUGAAUGUACUCUUUUUCAAUUGUCUGAUUGAUGCCUGUUGUCUAGUAAGUAGCAGCCUAGCCCAGUUAUGGAGUGUGUAUUUUGGCCAGAAAGGGUUAAUAUGUAUCACACAGGUUUUACGAGACAUCACUAAAAGUAAGUUCUGAGCUACACUUUGUGAGUGUGGUUCAGUGUAAGCUUUUCUGUGGUUAUUUAAAAAUGAAAAGAAAUUUCAGAUUACUGUCUGGUGAGAAAAGGAAUGUGAAUAUUGAAAAUGUAAGCAGCCUGAGCAAACAUCCUAUUUCAUUAAAGAUGAUAUUUUGAGUCAUAAAAGCGUUGGUUUUUUUAUGACUGUGUAGAGCACAGUUCCAAUAAUUUGAUUUUUUCAGACAUUGUUUUACCUACAAUUACUUCAUAUUAUAAAUACAUAAAGGAGAAGCAAUUUCAUAUAUAAAAUACAUAUUGUGUAUAUGUGUGUGUGUGUGUAAAGCCCCAGAGCAGAAAAGGUUAAAAAAAAAAUCAAAAGAUUGAACAGGGUGGGUGACACUUCAGUGUGGGUAUUACAUUCAAAAUCGUACCUCUUUGAUUUUCCCAGCUGCAUUGUAUACCGGUAGACUACCAUACAUUAAUUGUAACCAUUUUGGUUCCCUGAAAAUUAGCUGAGCUAAAGAAUGAGAUCUACAUUGUAUCCUAUUUCUCAGUAAUCAGAUCCUCUUGGAUAUUGGAUUUUGUCGUGGACAUGUUAAACGAUUAUAUGUGCUUACUAGGUCUUAUACAUAAAUAUAAAAAUUUAGCAGUCUCCUCUCGUGGGGGUUCAUUUAGUAGUAAAGGAAAGCAAUCAGUGUGCCCAGUGUAAAUUCCCAUUUGCCCUACCAGAGUGAGAGACCAGGCUAUUUACAAAGCCGAUUUGCUUCAUAUUAAGGUAGUUUAUCAAUAAUAAAAAAAACCCCACCUCUAGCCCUAAUCCUUUUAUUUCCAAACUGUGAAAACCCACCUCUAGUUUUAGGAUGCCAGAAGAAGCCUUUAAAUCUUCCUUAAGAACAGUCGUUCUGCUUCCCCUCCCGGACUCCCCCCACCCUUGCCUUUCCAUCCCUCCCAUGAAAAAUUGCUGUCACAGAAUGUAUGAAGCUCUAGUGAUGAAACUCAUAAUAGAUUACAGUGUGAGAGUGAGGCCUUUCUAGAGUGAAUGAUUAUUACAUUCCCUAUGUUCCAAGAUGGCAUUGGAGUUAGAUUGUUUUCAUGUUUAUUUUGUUAGAUUUGCUGGGGUCCUUGAAGUCCUAUUGUACUUGGAGUUCAAAGCCUACAGCUGUGGACCACACUCUGUAUAUUCCAGGUUCUUUGUAUAUCCUAUUUUUAUUGGGGAGCUGUCCGUGAUCUCUCACAGCAAGCAAUAUUAAAUGAUCACUCUUGAAAUUUUUAUUUUACUGAUCGGUGCUGCUGAAUUAAUCUGGUGGAAUACACCAAAAGAGUGACCCUUAGAAUCUCGGUGCAUUUGGCAUUUAAAAAUCUUUCUUUUCUUUCGGUAUGGGUUACACGGACAGUUUUUGUCUUUGCUCUCAAAGGAAUUUAAUUCCCUGGCUUCAAGGACAAAAUACUUGCUGAUUUUUGCUUAGUGCUGAAAUUUAGUUGCUGUCCAGGUGCAGAAUAAUGCGAAACCUUAAAGAAAGUGUUUCUGUUGUUUAAAUUGGAUCAUUUAGUCCAUAUUUGGUGAGGGGGCAUCUUUCUAAUUGAAAUGGUCAGGUCAGGACUUAAAAGCACUUCUUGUUAGCCGCUAGCCUGGUAGUCUUUUCCUGUAUCCAGUGGGUCCAGGAGAGAAGAAAGGGGGAGAGAAUGCACGGAUAAAGAUUUCAACUUUCUUUCCCCGUCAAAUUUCCCUCCCCUUGUUCCCGGACACCUUGUCCAAGACCGUACUGGUUUCCUAGCCUCUGGUUUCCUUGUGCUUCUGAAAGCUUUUGUUUGUUACUUUUCAGCAAGGCAGAGUCCGCACCAUUUAGCCAUUCUCAAAUGCCCUUUGUUAAAAUCUGGAAGGGAGCACCAGGCAGAUCCAGAAUUGGUUAUUUUUGAGAUGUCAAUGUUUGAGGAGAAUUCCAAACCUCAUUACGACUGGUAAAACUCUACCUCUUUCAGCCAAGUAUAUGGAAAUGUACAUAAGUGCUGUGGGGGGUGGGAUGGAUACCUAAGCACCCUAGGGUGUGGGAUUAGUGCAGGGGUGAGGCAGUGAGGAGUGAAAAAAUAGGGUGGGUCAGGGGAGCACAGUCCAGGAAACCUUCCUGGAGGAGGAGGGAUUUCAUUAGGGUUUUUGAAUAUGGGUGAGCGUGGCGGGUGAUCUGUCAUAUGUAGCGGGAGGGAGUUCCGGGCAGGAGGGAGCUCUUGAGCAAGGGGACAUCACCGGGUGAGGUACUUAGUUAUGUAGAGUCAUCUGUUUGAAUGUAUUUAUCAUAACAUGAGGUAACUUGUUUCAUCUUGAUAUGUACGUUUGAAUCUUCUAGCAGUACGGCAUCUUUUCCCGGUAGAAAAAUGGUGUGGGUAACUAUAAAUGAGAGCAAAUGAUCCAGAAGAAGGAAUAAAAAAGGUCUUUUCCUCUUGGCAAAAGAGCAUUUGGAAAUGUCUUGAGUAGAUUGUUGUAUUGUGCUUUUGUUUCCUAAAAGGAAACUACCCAUAAAAAGGCAGUGUGUAUAUAUUUACAGAUUCAACACAUAGCGGUGGGAGGGAGAGCCUCUUUCUUUUCCAGUCUUUCCUCCCCACCAUUUCGUCCCUCCGCCUUCUUUCAUCUACCUGUUUGGGGUUCUUUGUAAAACAGGUGGCUGCAGGUGGAUACAGAGAACCUAUAGAAGCAUUAUCUGAGAGAACCAGGCAUUCACAUAUCAUAGGAGAUUGAUAGGCAGUGGUUCUACAGCUACCAAAAUAGACAUCAGUGGAAAACCAGUCCAACCACCCACAGACCAAGACCCGUUAAAGAAAAAAACUGCACUCCAUGAUAUCCCUGUUAGGCUCUGCACUGACAUAAGUCACCUGAAUGGUCACAAAAUUCACCUCUUUUGGUGGAGAUACUAAAUGAAGAGGAGCUGAGGGGCAGUCGAGUUUGAUGCGGCAGUCAACCACACGGUAAAAUACAGCAUGGCUGCAGAACUUGGAUUAACAGUGCCUCAUUUGGGAGGAUAAGAAGAUAAAAUGAUGUCUAUCCUGUUGGUUUUUAGUCUACAAAGUCCUUCUUUUUGCUUUGUUUCAAAUAUCAGAAUGUAAAUGUUUUUAGUCCUUUUUAAAUUAAAGUGUCUUAAAGCAAA
Ornithorhynchus anatinus (platypus) is the source of this 4189-nucleotide long non-coding RNA. RefSeq lists it as uncharacterized. The record is from RefSeq and is a predicted model, not a curated record. The transcript has 3 exons. Lineage: Eukaryota; Metazoa; Chordata; Mammalia; Monotremata; Ornithorhynchidae.